This is a long non-coding RNA of Gallus gallus (chicken), 605 nucleotides long. NCBI's taxonomy places the organism in Eukaryota, Metazoa, Chordata, Aves, Galliformes, Phasianidae. The record is from Ensembl.
CACACAUUAGGAAUAGACCUCCUCGAGCACAAUAGUGGUUUUGUGUGCUGCUCUCUCAUGCCUUGUUGAAGAGUAGGAGUGGCUGGAUAACAUGUGAAGAAGCACUCUAGUUUACCGCAGGCCAAAGUGAAAAAACUUGCUGCAAAUGAUUUGUUUCUUCGUCUCUGUGCUCAUUUGGGAGAAUGGAGCAGAUACUGACAGCAGGGUGUUCUGGGAAGGAGCAGAGAUGGCAACUAUGUGCCCUGAACUUCUGUGAGGGUAUUUCCGAGGUCAUCAGCGGUCCCAUGGGGGAAAUGAGUCAGCAAAAGCGUAACUGCAGAUCUCAGCGACCGCUGCGAGGAGCACCGCGUUAUCCCGAGCAGCUCUGAGUCACCGCGCAGCCACGGCCGUGUCACAGAGCCGAGAACCGCUGCCAGCGGAGAGGGACCCUUCUCACCUCCCACCGCUAUCAAAUGUCACCCACCCAUCUAUCUCAGCGUCCCUCAUUAUGAAGCUCAUCACUCAUUUCAGAAUGGGCGUUCCACGCAGAACGCCGCAUCCUCUCACUUUAUUAACAGCCAGCAGGGCUGACAUUGCACUUCGCGGGCACCGCUGCAGCGUCAGGG